UACGUAGGGUGCAAGCGUUGUCCGGAAUUAUUGGGCGUAAAGAGCUCGUAGGCGGUUUGUCGCGUCUGCCGUGAAAGUCCGGGGCUCAACUCCGGAUCUGCGGUGGGUACGGGCAGACUAGAGUGAUGUAGGGGAGACUGGAAUUCCUGGUGUAGCGGUGAAAUGCGCAGAUAUCAGGAGGAACACCGGUGGCGAAGGCGGUUCUCUGGGCAUUACCUGACGCUGAGACGCGAAAGCGUGGGGAGCAAACAGG
RNAcentral lists this ribosomal RNA (253 nucleotides) under uncultured bacterium. RNAcentral describes it as "partial 16S ribosomal RNA". It matches the Rfam family "Bacterial small subunit ribosomal RNA", at positions 524 to 776 of the family's 1533-position model. The record is from RNAcentral.